UGUCUUUUUGAGCCUUACAUUCCUUGGGGGUGAGAUAUCCAGAGAUGGCCUGGCCUAAGAGAGCCAGUCAAAGUGAUGCUACUGGGAAAUAUGUCAUCUUGUAAAAUUUGAUCAUUUGGUGCUCCCUGAAUUAAAUUAUGCUGGUGACAACAUUCUGGGCAUCUGAAAAUCUCUCCUCCUGGCAGUCUGAUAGAUGACCAUGCAGAAAUGAUUUAUACCAUACUCCAUUUGGGUAUUGGCAUUGAAUUCACCAGGGAUACAUGUACAACCACCCCCUAGGUGGGAUGGGACAGAGAGAAUGUGAGAUAUUGAUAAUACUCUUUCAGAAGGGUGACUGUGGUGGAUGUGGUGAACAUCAGUGUCACUACUUUGGGUGAUAGGUCUUUUGUUGUGAGCAUAGGCUGGUCAACCCUGAGGAUCUGAAUCUUGGCUUCUAAUAGAGUCUAUUUCCCUGGUGCAAUCUCCUCAAGUAUAGUUUCCUUGACUGCCGCCCCCCCCCCCCAUUCUAUACUUUGCAACAAGAGAUGUCUCUGCCCUAAGUCUUAGUGUGCCAACAUAGACAUUUUCUGAUUUCAUAAGAUCUAUGGAGAUUGAGGUCCCCCUCAAAAAUACUUGAAAUUCUUGAUCAGAGUAAUAAAAUCCAGAUUCUCCCUCCUCUUUGGCUAAUUAAGUUCCAAAUUUAAAACAAGGUUCAGUUUGAUAUUUGCAGUUGGGAUGAUGUCUUAAACCAGUGUGUUGAGCUAUUUCCCAUCAUAUGGAGGCAGGGGAGUAAGCUCUGUUAAUUUUUUCUAGUCACCAAUGUAAACAUCCCUUUGUGUGCAGUGCCAUGGCCCAAACUUGUAGCUUGCAAGAGAUACUUAUGGCCAACAAAGCUAGAAGUUUAUAGAUACAACAAGAUAACACAGAUGAGGAAAGGCCUAUUGGUUAUCUAUUUCUGAGAAGUGCCUUGGCACUUGCUUAGGUGUCUUGCUUUCCAGUUUGACAUAUUUUGAGAAGAGUUGAUUUCUUUUCACUUUAGACAAUGACCAAUUAAAUAUCUUUCCUCAAAGUCCAAAGGAAGAUUGAAAGCCCAGAUAUCCACUCAUUCUCUGAUAUUUUUUGAAUGCAGUUUCCCAAAAGCCCAAUGAGAAAUGCCAAUACUCAAAUCUAGGUCUGAUAGUUAUUCCUUCAUUUAAGAAGAGUGUAUACUCAAAUGAAUAGCUUCCUGAAAUGUCGUGUUUCUUUCUUGGAGAACUCUCCAUGCUCUAUCUACACUUAACAGCUGUGUGACAUUUAGCCGAUGACUCUGAGCCCACCUCUGGAGUGAAUACAUAAACCUGGUCCAGGCGAUUUGAUUUCUACUUUAUGCAGAAGAGAAGUAAAUCUCAGUAAAGAAGAUUUUCUUUCAUUUUUAUGCUUUUUACAUUUUUUUUUUCCCUUUUGGCUCUAUCCUCUUGCUUCCAUGGGACUGACAAUCCAGCUUCUCAAACUCCAUGAAAGUCUUAAUGUGAGGUGAAUUCCAGGACCACAAACAGUUAGGACUUCAAACAGUGAGAAAAUUGGCGCUGAAUGAUUCGGCACACAAAGCAGAAAACCUUCAUUUCCUGCAGGCAGGAUGGAAUUGACUGUUAUAUUAAGACUUGUGAAGGAGCCCUGCCCCGGAGUAAUUUUAGUGCUGUCAGACAACGUUGACAUCUAGAUUAACCUCUGUGCAGUGAAGUUUACUGCAAAGCUCAUUGAGAUGCAAGUGGUGUAUCUCCACAAAUCCUAUCUGGAACUCUCAGUGGCCCACCCUCAGCAAACCCUCAUCCCUUCCCACCCACUGCUCUCUCCAUCCAUGAACUUUUAGCCUCCAGGAGCAGAGAAGCCAGGACUGGGAUCUGACCUGAGGAAAGGGAGUUUCAACCUUUCUCUGACCACAGUACUGAGCCAAGCUUUCUGUUCAGUGGGAGUGACAGUGGUUGUCACUGUCUUGAUUUUCCCUGAGGGGACUGCACAUCAGUUAUGAAAGCCACUCUGCUGAUGACAAACAGCUUUGCAGCAUAUUUCGGUGCUGCACAAAGUGAAAUGGUUUAUAAAGAAUUAGUGUGCUCUGCAUCAGUGAGCCCUGCUCUGCCUCCCUCCUCCCCCCUGGUGCAGCAAUUCUAGGUGUGGAUGCAACAGAUCAGAACUGCUGCCAGGUAGCCAGGGGAGUAGUGGGUUCUGAUGGACAAAGGGCUUGCGCUGGGUCUGUGCUGGUGUUUCCUAUUUUCCUUAUGAGAAAGGUAGUCCCUGCUCCUCUUCUCUUGGUUGGGACAGAGUGUGCAUCUGUCCUCUAAGUCCCAGCUUGUCAGCUUUCUCCUUAUGGAGUGGUGGGCUCCACUGUAAUCCGCUCCCCUUUCUAACUCACUGUGUGGUACCACAUCAAGACGUAAGCGGCUAGCAGAAACCUCAAAAUUGAAAUCACAACUUCUUUACAAAUUAACGCUAUUACAUUAAAAGUCUUAGGAAUAGGCAGCUUAGAUUAAGACACCUCCACCUUCAGACUCCUUAGCACUGCAACACAUCAUCACAGGUGUCUUGGGAAACUUAGUUCAAGAUUUUAGAAUACUGUGAAGUCCAGAGAACAUAUUUCUCUGGGGUUUUACUGAUCCUGAUUCUCUCUGAAAUCGUUUUUUCCUACUUUGCCUCUUGCCUGGAAUAUGAGUAACAAUCUCCUUGUAUGUUCUUAGAUAUUUCUUUAGGAAAAAUGAAAGCCAGCUCAAGGACAUUGUGUUUAUUGACUGGGCAAAAUAGAUUUCUGGGCCAAGUAAUGUCACAGUCAUAUAGAGGCAAACCUGAUGACUUUAUUUAAAAGCAAUUAUAAGUGUUAUGUUUUGUUCUAAAGCUCAAGCUCACAUCGUGCAAACUACAUUCACGUUUCAUUUUCAUUACUUAUGAUAAUUGUUUACAUGCACACAUAUGCACCCCAUCCCUGACACACACGCAAAUACAUCUACACCCCUCUUGGUCCAAUAUGAUCCAACAAGUCAAUGUGGGCUUUCUGUUUUUCCCAAUGAGCCCUGUGUUAAUGUAUGUGCAAAUAAGUGUGCUCCAGGUAUGUGGCCUCUUAAAUUUAUCUAUAGUUCAUCUCUCUCUCUCUCUCUUUUUUUUUGUAAUUAUCACACAGCUUUUGACUUUUUUUUACUAUGAGUCAUUUAUGGAGUUGGGGUUUUUCAAAGGAGACUAAAUCCUAAGUUUUCAGAGCCUUUAUAUUUAAAGGCUGGACUAGUUUUCGAGGAGAAACACCAAACCAAACCAAACCUUGGUGCAGAUUUUAUUUAAUUAAUUUUGGGGGAUGGGGGUGGGAAAGCUUGAAGAAUACAUACUAAGUACAGAAAUAAAUGUGAAUUAGUUCAAACAGAUUCCUGAAGCUAUCUUGGAGCUGAAGCAGUUAGGUAGAAAACUCAAACAUUCAGAUUGAAUCAGAACUUGGGAAAGAAUCAGAUCUUCCCUUUCCAUGGGACAUGAAAGGCAUCCUGAGUUGGAAGUGAGCAGACUGGACUGGGUGUUACUUGGUGGGUGACUGGGCACAGGUCACUUCAGUUAUCCUGGCCAAGUGGAAGUGUCCUUAGUACAAGGGGGCAGCCAGGCUGCCAGUUGCAGACUAGCCGCCUCUCUGGUUCCAGUGAAGGGGCAAGCCGAUCCACUUCACCCACUGCUCUGAUCAGGAUCAAUAAAGCAUGUUUCAAGUCUCCUCUAGAACAAGUGUGCACACUCUACAGAGUCACCCCCCUUUCAUUGUGCAGACAGUUCACCUGCCAUGGAAAGCUGUCCAGACUCUGAACUCCUGUGGUCCUUCCAAUGUCCCUGAAUCCACCCCUUAAAGGCUGGCUUUUAUCUCUGAAAAAUCAGGGGAAGCCCUCUGAGCCCAUCUCCCUCUUCCCUCACCUGAGCAUCAGCCUCACUUGUGACUGAGCCUAUGUUUCUGGAGGAGAAAACAGUGUGCUCUCACAGCCAUCCUUCAGUCUCUUUCCAGCUCUGUGGACCAAGUGAUUAGCUCCUCAUUAGCACCUCAUCAGUUGCUCUUGCACAAGAGACUCUGGAACAACAAGCCUAUUAUAAUGCUGUAGUCUGUCUUUUUGAAGUCAUCCCUUCCUUCCGGCUUGGUUGGGAAAGGAGAGCCUGCCACAAACAGCUUUUCCUUCAAAUUUUUCUGGCUUUUUUCCCUGACUUUUAAAUACACUGGUAAAUGACAAACCAUGGUUUUCUUUUUUGUUUUCCAGGCCCCUACCUAUGUGAGUACACUUUGCCCCUAUCAAAUAGGAGCGCAAUAUGUCAGCAAAGUCUUUAUUUAUUUAGCGAGUGGCUAUAAUAUUGACACAAAGAUUUGCAGCAUCUAAAUCUUGAAGGGAAUAAAAGGCUUUUUCUAUCAAAUGAGAUCUUUACUGUGAUAGCACGAGAAAGGUUUAUACCAUAAGAACAGAAAUGAACCUGAGAACAUGCUCCCUCUUUAGGGAACAAUGUGGUAGAAGAAAUCACUGGAGAAAUCACCGGAACACUAGACCCUCUAUUCCACAGAUCAUUAUGUAUGAAUAGAUGCUUCAACUCUGUCCUUGACAUGGCUCUGAAAACACAAUAAUGAACAAUGAUCAACUCUUCACAUUUACUAUUAAAACAAUUUCAUCAUGCCUAACCCAACCCCUAUUUUUUAAAAAUACAAUUUUUUCAUAAUUCUGGGGAUAGUUCAAUAUUGUUGUUUUCUUUCCUGGGCGCCUUCUAAUAUUUUCAAUACAAUUUCUAAUUUUUUUCACUUUUAUUUCUUUAGGAAAGACAUGGGGUCAAUUUUAAAUACUGUCUAUGAUUAAAAUGGGGAGUGAAGUGGAGGAGGAUGAUGGGCCUAGGAGAGAGGGGACCUCUGAGCUCUACUUCUGCUGAAAAGCAUUAUCCCUUCUGUGCCUCAGUUUCUUAAUCAACAAAAAAGCUGCUAACAACCCCUUUCCUGUCACAGAGGCUUAUAAUGAGCACCUAAUGAGGUCAUAGCUGUCAAAGUGCUUGUGAGCACCAUAGGACCCACUCUUGGGCUGUGAGUGUUGCAAAUAGGCUUGCUGGUGCUGAGCUGUGAGCUGCUCUGUAAUGUGCCUUGUUUUGAGGUGCACAAAAAGCUUUUCCUUCAAAUUUCUGAAAUCCCUCCUGCAGUCUGGUUUCUAGAAUUAUAGCAUUGGCAAUUUUCUCUUUGAAUGAUGACCAUUGAGCAUUGAGAGAUGGAGAAUACCUUUACAAAAAUACAAGCAGAAAGAGGACAGCUUACCCAUUCAUCCCUCAUUGAAGAGGGAUUGUUGGUAGGUUUUGUUUUCAGGCCUGGAACCCUGGACAUUUUAUAGCAAAAUGGCAUCUCCUGUUGCAUUUAACUCUGUAUCAUAUUGCUGAUUUUAUGAAAUUCUGUAGAUUUAAGUGUAAAGUUUUUUUAACUGAAGACUAUAGAAAGCUUCCUGUAUAAAUUAGGUGGUAAAACUAAUUUUUCAGGAGGCACCCAAAGUAAUAAUGAACCUGAAGUAGUAUUAUGUUCAUUCUGGGGCCAGCAUUUUGUACAUGGGGAAAUAACCCUAAGAUAGAAUGAACUGCUUGAGUGAAAACCAAAUGCUAAACCACACUUCUGAUAGCCUUGAGCACCAACAAAUAGGUGUGAGUGGGAUUCCCACUGAGAAAUGCAUCUGAUUGAAAAUGAACCUCCUUCCCCCCCUUCAACAGUAAAUCCUGAGGCCAGAUUGCCAAGGUUACAGCAGUGAAGUCAUUUACAGGCCCUAAAAAAAUCCUAGGUGUUUGUAACAUCAGCCACUAUUUUAAGUACUUUGCAAAUGGUGACUAGUUGGCAAGUUAAAUCUUUGGAGUGUGAUUUCCUUUAGAUCUCCAAGCCACAACCAGGUGUGAUGUAACUAAGAGCUGUGGAUGAUUUUAAAAAAGGGGGAGUCACUCCAAAAAGGAAUCAUAAUAAAGCCGAAUACCUGAAAUCCUAACAAAUCUACAAAUACUUUGCUCAAGUUCAGGCUUCUCAUUUUUGUUUGUUUUAUAUAGGGCUCCAUUUUUGUUUGUUUUAUAUAGAAAAGCAACAUCUUCAUGUUGGACCUCUGUCCAGAUGAUUUUCCCCCUGUAGCUGUCUAGCAGACAGAAAGCAUUUCAGCUUUCUUUGAAAUGAGAGUCCAAAUUGGGUUAUGACUAGGAUUUUAAAUUAUGGUGUGAAAUUGGAGAAUGCAAACUGGUUUAGGGCAGAGUUCCAUAAUUCAUUCUGAUAAUCCUGAGGCGGUAACCUCCUUCACAGUAUUGUGGAGGCCUGCCUUGAACAAGUCGUUUCAGUGUGUAACUUCCUAGUGACAAGGCUGAUUAUUUAAGGAUUUCAGAGGCAUCUUUUGAGAAAUACCUCACUGGAUAUGGAAAAUUUGAUCUAAUAUGUUAACAAGAACAAGAAGAACUUAUUUUAAUGCUUUUUUCCCCUUUCCUCUCUCUGAGAAUUUAGCCUUUCUCGGAGGCCAUUGGGAUAUUUCCUUUUCAAGGCUGGAAAAGAUUGAUUAUAGUUCAUGUCUGAAAGCAAAAGUUCCCCCAAGCCCAGUGGAGUUGGAGGCAACCAAAAUGACCCAUGUUAAUUUCCUGUGGCCCCACAGAGUCAAGGACCCUUCUUGUUUAUGUGUGUGGGCUAUGGCAGGUGAGCUCAAGGGCAUUGUCAAAAUACAAUGAAAAGAAAGCAAGUCAGGACAAGAAAACUCUCACAUUGAAUAUGAGAGAAAACAGCAGUCCUGCUUUCUCUGGAAAAGAUUUGUGUACUAUUAAGGGAAGAUUCAUGUUCUUUCUCAAAUAGGUUUCACUUCUAAGAUUUUGUGUGUGUGUGUGUGUGUGUGUGUGUGUGUGUGUGUGUUGGCUGAAAGGGGGUAUGGGGCCAGUUAGGAAGUAGUUACGAUUAUGAAUUUAGAUCUUCUCUCAAACACAGUAAAAGCUCUGCUCUGUUUCUCAAAAUGAGACAAUAUAAUUAGGUGUGGAGAGGAAUUCAGGGACCAUGUUCCAGUAUGUGGUAUAGUUUUAUCCAAAUAUUUCCUUCAGGAACAUUUAAUCACAGCAAGCCAAAUUAAUCCCAUGUCUGUAACUGGUAUUGGGAAAAAGAAGCCAGUGGGCAAUUUCUGCAGCCCCUAGCUGCAUCCAUUUGUAGUCUUCUUUUCUAAGAGUUAGGUGUCCUGGAAUCACACGAGGGAAUAUGCUGGUAGGGAAUGAAUGGGGAGGAAGUUUGAAGAGUUUCCCACUGGUGUUAUGGCAAUGCAUUAACUCUGUCUUGCUAGAAAACUAGGGCCACUUAGGGGCUACUCUCAUUUAAAAUGGCAAUAGUAGUUCAAAUGUCUCAUUUAAAAAGAGACAUUUAGGGAUCCCUGGGUGGCGCUGCGGUUUGGCGCCUGCCUUUGGCCCAGGGCACGAUCCUGGAGACCCGGGAUCGAAUCCCACAUCGGGCUCCCGGUGCAUGGAGCCUGCUUCUCUCUCUGCCUGUGUGUCUGCCUCUCUCUCUCUCUGUCUGUGA
Molecule: long non-coding RNA, 7495 nt
Filed under: Canis lupus familiaris (dog)
Lineage: Eukaryota; Metazoa; Chordata; Mammalia; Carnivora; Canidae
Description: lncRNA (ENSCAFG00845003419.1)
Source: RNAcentral